Small nucleolar RNA from Protopterus annectens (West African lungfish), 66 nucleotides. RefSeq annotates it as small nucleolar RNA SNORD63. The record is from RefSeq and is a predicted model, not a curated record. The transcript has a single exon. NCBI's taxonomy places the organism in Eukaryota, Metazoa, Chordata, Ceratodontiformes, Protopteridae.
GUGCUGUGAUGAUUUUGCCAACACAUCAUUCUGAUGUCAAUGGAGAUAACUUAAUUGCUGAGCACA